This 1267-nucleotide ribosomal RNA is filed under the name Triticum aestivum (bread wheat). RNAcentral's name for it is "partial small subunit ribosomal RNA". The record is from RNAcentral. Lineage: Eukaryota; Viridiplantae; Streptophyta; Magnoliopsida; Poales; Poaceae.
UAGGAGGGUCGGCGCGGCGGUGAGGUUGUUUAGGGGAGCCCUAGGUAGGGGUAGGUCAGUCACGGGCGAAGGGGUUAGGUAGGGGAGGAGCUAAAGUCUACGGUCGGUUAGGGAGCUCGGCCGGCGUUCGUCGUGGCGGUCGUCCUGGAGCGCGGGGACGGAAGAGGAAAAGAAGAAAGGAGGCAGAGGGAGUAACGAGAGACAGAGUGGGCUAAGAGAGAGAGAGACAAGAGACAUAGUCGUGGUAGCGGCCUCUUCGAGGAGCACGCGCAGAUCCUCCUGCUGCGGGCUCCGGUUUGCCUAGGCGCUGUUCGAGGCGGCGGCGCGGUAGAAGUCCGCGAGCUCGUGCUCGAGCGGGCGCGGUGCAGAAGGAGGAGCAGCGCGCCCAGGUCCUCCGAGCGGCGGAUCGGACGAAGCGGGACAACGACGCGGACGAAGCGGUCCCCGGUAGGAGCGGGAGCAGGAGCGUCGUUCAUGGCUCGGGCUGGGGCAGCGGAGGAGACGAAGCGGACGCGGAUGGCGGCCGGCCGGUGCCGGUCCAGCGGAGCGGAGGAGAGCGAGAGUGAGGCCGGGAGAGAGACAGGGACAGCGAACUGACUUAAAAGGGACGGUACCGGGACAUCAAGGAGGGGCGGAGCCUCGAGGGAACGCGGCGGCCUGGGCGAAGGUAGCCGGAGGCAAGCCGUGCGGCGGCGGCCCUAGACGAGCGGCGGAGCGACUGGGCAGGGGUCGGUGGCCACGGGAGUGGCCUCCGGUGGUCGCGGUAGCGUCAGGGCAACGGCGGACGAAGGAGAGCAGUCUUUACUGGCUCGCGAGCGGGUGCACGCAACCGGCACGGGCGUACAUGGUCCGGAGCUGAGGGGUCGCGGUCGCGGAUCCGGUGGAGACGAAGCUGGGUCGCCGAGGGGAGGCGGUCGCACCGGGUCAGGUGGGGCCGGAUGGUGAGGUCGCGGACCCGGUCGCCGGAGGUUCCGGGUCGGUCGGAGGAGUUGGCUGGACCCGGUUCCGGGCUACACUCGACGGGGCGCGGACGGGACAAGUCGGGGACGAGGUCUAAGCCGGGCGUAAAGACCAUUGCAACGCAAGCACUCCUAAACAAGCUGAUGCAGGCAAGCAGAUGAAGAACCUGAGCAAGAAGAAUGAACGCCCUAAAGUCCGUUCUACUGGCGAUGGGACCUAGAGUGAUGAUAGUAACGAUACGAUCAACGAAGCAAGAUAGCGAUACGACACAAUGGAUAGAAAACGAGUAGUUCGGAGGGUUUAACGG